UACGAAGGGGGCGAGCGUUGUUCGGAUUUACUGGGCGUAAAGGGCGCGUAGGCGGCGGUCCAAGUCGAGUGUGAAAGCCCCGGGCUCAACCUGGGAGGUGCGCUCGAGACUGGUUCGCUGGAGUUCGGGAGAGGAGCGUGGAAUUCCCAGUGUAGAGGUGAAAUUCGUAGAUAUUGGGAAGAACACCGGUGGCGAAGGCGGCGCUCUGGACCGAGACUGACGCUGAGGCGCGAAGGCGUGGGGAGCAAACAGG
Molecule: ribosomal RNA, 253 nt
Filed under: uncultured bacterium
Lineage: Bacteria
Description: partial 16S ribosomal RNA
Rfam family: Bacterial small subunit ribosomal RNA
Source: RNAcentral